This 389-nucleotide ribosomal RNA is filed under the name uncultured bacterium. RNAcentral describes it as "bacterial SSU rRNA". It matches the Rfam family "Bacterial small subunit ribosomal RNA", at positions 28 to 417 of the family's 1533-position model. The record is from RNAcentral.
GACGAACGCUGGCGGCGUGCUUAACACAUGCAAGUCGAGCGGUAAGGCCCUUUCGGGGGGUACACGAGCGGCGAACGGGUGAGUAACACGUGGGUGACCUGCCCUCAGCUCUGGGAUAAGCCUGGGAAACUGGGUCUAAUACUGGAUAUGACUCCACGGUGCAUGUCGUGGGGUGGAAAGCCUUGUGCGGCUGAGGAUGGGCCCGCGGCCUAUCAGCUUGUUGGUGGGGNGAUGGCCUACCAAGGCGACGACGGGUAGCCGGCCUGAGAGGGCGACCGGCCACACUGGGACUGAGACACGGCCCAGACUCCUACGGGAGGCGAGCAGUGGGGAAUCUUGCGCAAUGGGCGAAAGCCUGACGCAGCGACGCCGCGUGAGGAUGACGGCCU